GCACUGGUGGUUUAGCGGUAGAAUUCUCGCCUGCUACGCGGGAGGCCCGUGUUCGAUUCCCGGCCAGUGCA
Non-coding RNA from Nematostella vectensis (starlet sea anemone), 71 nucleotides. The record is from Rfam. NCBI's taxonomy places the organism in Eukaryota, Metazoa, Cnidaria, Anthozoa, Actiniaria, Edwardsiidae.